CUUUCCGGUUUCUGUGCUAAGCUAAGCUGGUUGCUGAAGGUAGCUUCAUUUUUACUGUAGCCUGCAGACAUGAAGGUGAAAUUUAAUAUUUUCAUAUAACUCUUGCGAAAAAAAAAAAGAAUCAAUCAAUUGUGUUCUCCAAGUGUUUUUAACUGUUUUAUAACGGACCUGUUAUUAUGGUAUUCAUUUCCAUGCAUCUAUGUGAAUCUUAAACAUUCAAAACUUGAAUAAGUGUAUUAUCCAACAACAGUAUCCUUUCCUUUUCAAAAAUCUGAACAUUUCUAAAUUGUUCGUGCUUUGCUUUGACCUUGGCUCUUGUGGAGUUAUGGACGGUGGCCGAACGGUAAAGUAAUAAAAAAAAAAAAAAAAAAAAAAAAAAGCCGCAACAGAAGUGAACAGCGGUCCCACUGUAUUAUUGGUCCGGGUUGCCGGGGGGACUUUUAUUGCCGACGGACCGCGCGAAAGUUUGAAGAAGAUAAGAAGAUCGACGACUUAGAGAAGUAGCGAGAACAUGACGACAUCUGGAGAGUGCAACUGUCUACAUGUAGACAUGUUCACCAGACAUGCAGACAUGCAGACAUGCAGACUUUCCCUGUGGAGCAGAGAGCUGGGCAGCGAACCUUCCCCGGACACCGUUUCUGGACCAGGUCCCUCUCAUCAGCCUCUGCGUUCUGGGUCCGGGCCUUCAUCCCCCUCUUCCAGGAGCUCACCUGCUGUCACAGAAGAUAAGCUUGGCUGUGAUGAAGGGAAGUCUCUGCCCGUGAUCCCUAACCCCUGAUGAGGAGGCUUCUCAAUUUCAACUCCAGGUCUUGCAUGGGCCUCAUAUCCCUCUCUGCUCCUUUGGCACCCCCCUCCCCCUUUUCAACCGAAAAGGGCAUCCUUUCCUUGCAUAAGCAGCUAUUUUCUGAGCCAAACUGUACCAGAUUACCCAAACUACCCCUCUCUCCACUGAGAAGAGAUCAAGUGCAAAUUGUCAGAGUCUAAGCCAUGCUUGACCUUUUUAUUUUUUUCAACGUUAAAAGAAAUGUUAGCUUAUUUUCUAUCUUGUCGAGAGUUAGAUUUGAGGAUCAAUACCAUUCUCAUGUCUGUAUUUUUUAAGCUUAGUUUAGCACAAACACUGGAGACGGUGGGAGACAGCUCACCAACCUUUGUCUGAAAGUCACAAAAUCCCAAAUCUCCAAAGCAAAAUAAUCACUAACAUUAUAUCUGGUUUGUUUAAUCUCUGCAAAAGUCGUAGAGUAAAAACAACAUUGUUUUUCUUCGCCUGGUUCAGUUACGUGUCUUGUUGCCACCAUGAAGUUGUCAGGUCACCAGCGCAUACUCCAGAAAGUUUCUGUGCUUGUCCAAGAAAUUGUCCCUCACAUAACCUCAAAUAAAUGUUAAUUAAGUGUC
This is a long non-coding RNA of Scophthalmus maximus (turbot), 1392 nucleotides long. RefSeq lists it as uncharacterized. NCBI's taxonomy places the organism in Eukaryota, Metazoa, Chordata, Actinopteri, Pleuronectiformes, Scophthalmidae. The record is from RefSeq and is a predicted model, not a curated record. The transcript is spliced from 3 exons.